AUUGAACGCUGGCGGAAUGCUUUACACAUGCAAGUCGAACGGCAGCACGGGGGCAACCCUGGUGGCGAGUGGCGAACGGGUGAGUAAUACAUCGGAACGUGCCCAGUCGUGGGGGAUAACGUAGCGAAAGUUACGCUAAUACCGCAUACGAUCUACGGAUGAAAGCGGGGGACCGGAAGGCCUAGCGCGAAUGGAGCGGCCGAUGUAAGAUUAGGUAGUUGGUGAGGUAAAGGCUCACCAAGCCGACGAUCUGUAGCUGGUCUGAGAGGACGACCAGCCACACUGGGACUGAGACACGGCCCAGACUCCUACGGGAGGCAGCAGUGGGGAAUUUUGGACAAUGGGCGCAAGCCUGAUCCAGCCAUUCCGCGUGCAGGACGAAGGCCUUCGGGUUGUAAACUGCUUUUGUACGGAACGAAAAGGCUCUGGUUAAUACCUGGGGCUCAUGACGGUACCGUAAGAAUAAGCACCGGCUAACUACGUGCCAGCAGCCGCAGUAA
Molecule: ribosomal RNA, 500 nt
Filed under: uncultured bacterium
Lineage: Bacteria
Description: partial 16S ribosomal RNA
Rfam family: Bacterial small subunit ribosomal RNA
Source: RNAcentral